RNAcentral lists this ribosomal RNA (253 nucleotides) under uncultured bacterium. RNAcentral describes it as "partial 16S ribosomal RNA". It matches the Rfam family "Bacterial small subunit ribosomal RNA", at positions 524 to 776 of the family's 1533-position model. The record is from RNAcentral.
UACGUAGGCAGCAAGCGUUGUUCGGAAUUACUGGGCGUAAAGAGCUCGUAGGCGGUCUGUCGCGUCGGAUGUGAAAACCCAGGGCUCAACCCUGGGCCUGCAUUCGAUACGGGCAGACUAGAGUUCGGUAGGGGAGACUGGAAUUCCUGGUGUAGCGGUGAAAUGCGCAGAUAUCAGGAGGAACACCGGUGGCGAAGGCGGGUCUCUGGGCCGAAACUGACGCUGAGGAGCGAAAGCGUGGGGAGCAAACAGG